CAUGGCAUCCUCAACACACCCAGAUUUGUUUGAUUUUGGAAACCAAGCAGGGCUGGGUCCAGUUAGUACUUGAAUGGGUAACCAUGAAGUGAGACCUUUGAUCUCCAUGC
This 110-nucleotide ribosomal RNA is filed under the name Pogona vitticeps (central bearded dragon). Lineage: Eukaryota; Metazoa; Chordata; Lepidosauria; Squamata; Agamidae. The record is from RNAcentral.